CAAGAGUCUUUACAAGAAUGGCAAGAAUGUUGCAGGGGCCCAGGGCCGGGCACGGUGGCUCAUGCCUGUAAUCCAGCACUUUGGGAGGCUGAGGCGGACGUAAUUCCUGCCUCUUCCACAGACUAGACAUGUGACUGGGGGCAGAUUCCUUCAGCAAUAUCACCUCAUUUGGAGAAGAACUGGACUAAAAUACCCUCCAAUCACUUUCCGAUUUGCUGGUUUAAUAAUCCUAUCAGAAAAGAAGAGGUUAGCUAUACAUGACUUUCUCUAGAAGCAUAUCGAUUGGCUCCUUGUAACAUUUUUCCUCUUUAAUAUAACAAAAUUGUGCAGUGUCUGAUGGCUACAGAACCAUCCAAAAUAUGGGUUUCCCAUACUUGGUGAUAGAGUGUAAGGGGUUCUCAGCUUAUAUAUUUAAAAUAACAGCUCUCAUUUCAAAUACCAUUUAUUUCUCCUCAUUAUUUGCAAAUAACUGUUAUAGUCUUGCCUGUUUCUUAAUUGGGCUGUUUGUUUUUUGUUGUUGAAUUGUAGAGUUCUUUAUAUAUUCUGGAUCUUAGUCCCAGAAGACGUGAAGGCAGAUUUUCAUUCUUCUUCUGGCCAAAGCUCAGUACAAGAACGACCUCAAAGGCAAGUAUUGGGAAGGAAAAUAGACUAAAAAGUAAAUUAUCUAAAUAUUCAUACCAAGAAAUUAGAUUAAAAAAUUAAAUUUAAAGAAAAUGAAAGAAUUGAGAUAUAGUAUUCUAUAAUAGACAUAACAAAGAAUAGAGAUAAAAACUAAUGAAAUACAACACAAACCAUGGAUAAGAUAAAAUAAAGCUAAAAUAUGGAUGUUUGAAAAACUAAUAAAAUUGGUAA
RNAcentral lists this long non-coding RNA (852 nucleotides) under Homo sapiens (human). Its description in RNAcentral is "non-protein coding lnc-MS4A7-1:2". The record is from RNAcentral. Lineage: Eukaryota; Metazoa; Chordata; Mammalia; Primates; Hominidae.